AAAAAAAAAAAAUGAAAAGAAAGCAAAAAUAGGUAAAAGUCCUCCUGCACUCACACAUUCCAGUCAAACUUUAUCUCUCACAACAUAACAAGAAAUAGAACAAAAACAAAGAAGAAGCAAGAAACCUGUUGGGUGUUUCCUUUGACGCUACCUCCUUUAUCAAACUCGCUAGUCAACCAUUUAUCAAAUUCAAAAUAAAAAAAUAAAAAUAAGUAAAAAAAAAAAAAUCGAUUUCACUAAAAGAGGACCCAACUCUGCGCUCCCUCUUUUCAAUCUUUACGCAUGUACUAUUUGGUUCAAAUGGAGCUCUCAAUUCCCAUCUCCUACUCCAUCUUCCUCUCGAUUUACAAAUUUUGCCAGCGAUUCUAAUUUCCUAUUCUCAUUAUCAAUGGCCAAAAAGAAAAAAAAAGGCCAAAACACCAAAUGCGAAAUCACUAUUCCAAUAGCGAAUAAUAGAAGUUUCUAUUGUUCCAUCAUAAAAUGAAUUGGGGCUUGGAAAUGGAUGGUUGAUAGAUUAAAACGGUGACACUUUGUAUAUAGGUAGCUUGAAUUUGGAUCUGAAAAUAGAUGCUUUCUUUUCUUUUCCCACAUCUACAGUAUCUCACAAGAUAGGAGGCACUUUUAUAGUAUUUAGGGAUUCAACGGAUGAAAGAAGAAGAAAUGGUUUAAUAGGGUAGGAGAGAG
This 684-nucleotide long non-coding RNA is filed under the name Jatropha curcas. RNAcentral describes it as "long non-coding RNA (JCUR_LNC000157)". The record is from RNAcentral. Lineage: Eukaryota; Viridiplantae; Streptophyta; Magnoliopsida; Malpighiales; Euphorbiaceae.